CCUACGGGUGGCAGCAGUGAGGAAUAUUGGUCAAUGGCCGGAAGGCUGAACCAGCCAUGCCGCGUGAAGGUCAGUGCCCUAUGGGCGUUAAACUUCUUUUGUGCGGGAGCAAUAAUGGUCACGUGUGGCCAGACGAGAGUACCGUACGAAUAAGCAUCGGCUAACUCCGUGCCAGCAGCCGCGGUGAUACGGGGGAUGCAAGCGUUUUCCGGAUUUAUUGGGUUUAAAGGGUGCGUAGGCGGUGAGAUAAGUCAGCGGUGAAAUGCCCCGGCCCAACGGGGUGAAGUGCCAUUGAGACUGUCGUGCUGGAGUGCAGAUGCGGUAGGAGGAAUGUGUGGUGUAGCGGUGAAAUGCAUAGAUAUCACACAGAACACCGAUUGCGAAGGCAGCUCACGAAUCUGCGAUUGACGCUGAUGCACGAAAGCGUGGGUAGCAAACAGGAUUAGAUACCCUAGUAGUC
Molecule: ribosomal RNA, 460 nt
Filed under: uncultured bacterium
Lineage: Bacteria
Description: partial 16S ribosomal RNA
Rfam family: Bacterial small subunit ribosomal RNA
Source: RNAcentral